RNAcentral lists this ribosomal RNA (493 nucleotides) under uncultured bacterium. RNAcentral's name for it is "bacterial SSU rRNA". It matches the Rfam family "Bacterial small subunit ribosomal RNA", at positions 35 to 507 of the family's 1533-position model. The record is from RNAcentral.
GCUGGCGGCGUGCUUAACACAUGCAAGUCGUGCGCGAAAGUGGCUUCGGCCACGAGUAGAGCGGCGAACGGGUGCGUAACACGUGGGUAACCUGCCCUUGAGUGGGGGAUAACUCGGGGAAACCUGAGCUAAUACCGCAUACGAUGCAGAGUCGCAUGGCUCUGUAGGAAAGCUGGCCUCUGAUUCAAGCUAGCGCUCUUGGAGGGACCCGCGCCCGAUUAGCUUGUUGGUGAGGUAACGGCUCACCAAGGCGAUGACGCGUAGCGGGUCUGAGAGGACGACCCGCCACAUUGGGACUGAGAUACGGCCCAGACUCCUACGGGAGGCAGCAGUGGGGAAUAUUGCGCAAUGGUCGCAAGACUGACGCAGCGACGCCGCGUGUGGGAGGAAGCCUUUCGGGGUGUAAACCACUGUCAGGGGGGAAGAACCUCCUGGAUGUAAACAGCAUCCGGGACUGACGGUACCCCCAGAGGAAGCGCCGGCUAACUCCGUG